RNAcentral lists this ribosomal RNA (1499 nucleotides) under Acinetobacter sp. 22. RNAcentral's name for it is "16S ribosomal RNA". It matches the Rfam family "Bacterial small subunit ribosomal RNA". The record is from RNAcentral. Lineage: Bacteria; Pseudomonadati; Pseudomonadota; Gammaproteobacteria; Moraxellales; Moraxellaceae.
UGAGUUUGAUCAUGGCUUAGAUUGAACGCUGGCGGCAGGCUUAACACAUGCAAGUCGAGCGGAGAGAGGUAGCUUGCUACUGAUCUUAGCGGCGGACGGGUGAGUAAUGCUUAGGAAUCUGCCUAUUAGUGGGGGACAACAUUUCGAAAGGAAUGCUAAUACCGCAUACGUCCUACGGGAGAAAGCAGGGGAUCUUCGGACCUUGCGCUAAUAGAUGAGCCUAAGUCGGAUUAGCUAGUUGGUGGGGUAAAGGCCUACCAAGGCGACGAUCUGUAGCGGGUCUGAGAGGAUGAUCCGCCACACUGGGACUGAGACACGGCCCAGACUCCGACGGGAGGCAGCAGUGGGGAAUAUUGGACAAUGGGCGCAAGCCUGAUCCAGCCAUGCCGCGUGUGUGAAGAAGGCCUUAUGGUUGUAAAGCACUUUAAGCGAGGAGGAGGCUACUUUAGUUAAUACCUAGAGAUAGUGGACGUUACUCGCAGAAUAAGCACCGGCUAACUCUGUGCCAGCAGCCGCGGUAAUACAGAGGGUGCAAGCGUUAAUCGGAUUUACUGGGCGUAAAGCGCGCGUAGGCGGCUAAUUAAGUCAAAUGUGAAAUCCCCGAGCUUAACUUGGGAAUUGCAUUCGAUACUGGUUAGCUAGAGUGUGGGAGAGGAUGGUAGAAUUCCAGGUGUAGCGGUGAAAUGCGUAGAGAUCUGGAGGAAUACCGAUGGCGAAGGCAGCCAUCUGGCCUAACACUGACGCUGAGGUGCGAAAGCAUGGGGAGCAAACAGGAUUAGAUACCCUGGUAGUCCAUGCCGUAAACGAUGUCUACUAGCCGUUGGGGCCUUUGAGGCUUUAGUGGCGCAGCUAACGCGAUAAGUAGACCGCCUGGGGAGUACGGUCGCAAGACUAAAACUCAAAUGAAUUGACGGGGGCCCGCACAAGCGGUGGAGCAUGUGGUUUAAUUCGAUGCAACGCGAGGAACCUUACCUGGCCUUGACAUAGUAAGAACUUUCCAGAGAUGGAUUGGUGCCUUCGGGAACUUACAUACAGGUGCUGCAUGGCUGUCGUCAGCUCGUGUCGUGAGAUGUUGGGUUAAGUCCCGCAACGAGCGCAACCCUUUUCCUUAUUUGCCAGCGAGUAAUGUCGGGAACUUUAAGGAUACUGCCAGUGACAAACUGGAGGAAGGCGGGGACGACGUCAAGUCAUCAUGGCCCUUACGGCCAGGGCUACACACGUGCUACAAUGGUCGGUACAAAGGGUUGCUACCUAGCGAUAGGAUGCUAAUCUCAAAAAGCCGAUCGUAGUCCGGAUUGGAGUCUGCAACUCGACUCCAUGAAGUCGGAAUCGCUAGUAAUCGCGGAUCAGAAUGCCGCGGUGAAUACGUUCCCGGGCCUUGUACACACCGCCCGUCACACCAUGGGAGUUUGUUGCACCAGAAGUAGCUAGCCUAACUGCAAAGAGGGCGGUUACCACGGUGUGGCCGAUGACUGGGGUGAAGUCGUAACAAGGUAACC